RNAcentral lists this long non-coding RNA (7697 nucleotides) under Volvox carteri. RNAcentral describes it as "long non-coding RNA (VCAR_LNC001674)". The record is from RNAcentral. Lineage: Eukaryota; Viridiplantae; Chlorophyta; Chlorophyceae; Chlamydomonadales; Volvocaceae.
CACAAUAAGUUAGUAGUGAGUACGGAUCACGCGAUGACGUUUAAGCAAUUCUGCAACGGGUACAACGGAAGGACCCGCUGUACCAGCGGCGUUUGCCGACCCCUGCACGGGACUACUUGCCAACACAUUGGGAACAUAUACCUCACAACCACCCUUUCUUAUAUGUCAACGACGCAGACAUGGUUGUUUGCCGUUUGUUUACCGAUGUACAAUGACGAAGUCUGAGGGCGCACGUCGGAGCCUCAUUUUUUCUGUAUAAGCGUACUAACUGAGGCCUUGUGUCCAGUGAAGUUAGUACGGCCUGGCCGAGUUCUUUUUGAAUAAGGCCCACAGUGUUGUGCGGGAGGCGUUCCUAGCUAGGAACGCCUAUAGGGGCGCUGCACUCGACCCGUUCGGGGUCCACCUAAACAAUCGCAUCCCGCCGGGCACCCGAUAUGACGACCUGAACAUAAAUAAACGUGAACUCCUGGUAAAGAUACUUGUUUAUGAAUAAAACAUUAUAAUUGAGCAAAUUAUGCACCUCCCACCAUAUAUUCAUGCAUAUACUUGGGUGAAUACUAACACCGACGCUGUAAUAACAGUAGCAGUAAGUACAGACUCUCUGAAAAACUCGCGCAAAGGAGCCCGGUACACGAAAAGACGAAAGGCCCAGUGGAUACGUCUGGUACACUAACACUACCUCCUGAGCUCGAUUCCUGGGGAGACCCCCGAAUUAGUCGGGAGCGCGAGAUUAUGGCUAGCUGCUGAGAUGUGGAGUUGAGGUCACAGUUGAUGGACCAGAUUCGCACACUGGAUUGGUGGCGAUUGCCGAACCCUCCGUCUCUUCGGAUGUUCGGGUGAAUGGAUGCGGAGGGAUCCCUGAAGUCUGGAUCCACAGCCUUGGAUUUACAGUUCGUAUGGCGUAGUACAGUGUGGUGGAUGGUGCUAUAAGGUGAUAAAUCGUAGAAUUGACAAUGUGAUAAAGCGACCCAGAAGCCUCCCACUCUGUAACAUUACAGAAUAUCUGCUACUGUUCGCUGCCUCAGGCACCACUGCAGCUCCAUCUCGCUAACCUGGUUUUCCUGGAACCCCAUGUUGAAAAAGCCCGGGACGAAGUGCCACCGGGGUUUCGUUUCAAGUCUUAGAGUUGGCGGUUGAUGGUAUCAGUGCCUGUUGAUCAGGAAAGGCCUUUGCCUUCCUGGCUAAUAUGGGUGUGUUAGCCCAUGAACGCCUACAGGGCUAAUUAUGCUACCGUUAAACUCUUCAGCGUUGAGAUCCAAUGCUAUUUUUCUAAGCAGUUCUAAGCGAGAUGGACGUGUGGUUACACUCUAGCUAAACCACGGGGUUUUCCGCCGGAGUCACUGGAGGGGGUUAUCGAUAUCUAAACUGGAUGGGUGCAUCUCAUGAUACGGGAGCACGGUGGGUGUGGCUCACAAUGCCGAGCCCAGCAAGCGAGCGGGAGAGGAUGUCAACAUCCUCACUUGGCACCACAAUAAUGGCCAUUGGCCGUCUAAGGAGCCCCCUUCAGGCUUUUAUGGAUGGGCCCCCCAUCUGUGCGGGACUUGUAACUUGUAUUGUUGGUCCUUUGCUCGCGUGUUGGCAUCCCUCUGGAUGAUGUUGAGCUGGUGCAGUGGCCUGGAACCAUCGGGAUCGUCAAAAUGGGGGGCAACUCGUCAAUUAUUGCCCUGCAACACUGUCCUUUACAAUCAUGGCACUUGGUACUGGUGGACAACAGCACCGCAAAAUGCAACCGUGACCAUCUUUUUGCCCGUCGGUUUAUUUUGGAUGCGCAUGGUUUUGAUAAAUAAUGGCAGUGGACGUUGGAGAACAGAUGCACCACCAUGGCGGGAUAGCAUGGAAUGCUGAGGACAGUGCAGCAGGACUUGGAUGAACGUAUGUUGGGCAUUUUGUCUGUAUCAACAACAACAUCAUCAACAACACCGAUGAUGAAGGGGACAUGCCUCCGUCCUGGAAUCGCUUUGCAGGCUUGGCAACAUCCUUAAGCCUGUCUCCUUCGUGGUUCGUCGCUUUACAGCGCUGCGGCCAGUAGCAGUGGCGACCAUCGACUACCUCUUCAUCAACGGGUACACUGGAACGACUGCCAACUUAACUGUAGAGCAGUGGUACGUAUGCACUGCUUAGGUCCUUGCCUCCCUGUCUAGGUCCUAAGUCCAAAGCUUCAUUAUUAUGUUUUUCAUCUGGGCACUUUGGUCCGCGUCCCAUGUAUGCUGCCGCAGGCCCUUAACAUGUGUGAUCCUUGUCAUUAACAAAAGGCCAAUGUCCAUAUGUAUGUGCUCCAGAAGACGUCCCACGUCAUGUAUGUGUGUGUGUGUGUGUGUUGAAUCCUACUGGACUGCUGCUCACUCACUGGUGGUGCAGGUUCCGUUUCAAUGAUUUCAACCGCAUUGAAUCGGCAGAUUUCAAUGUGGCGCGUUACGUGGAGUUCAUGCCAGCAAUGCAAGUUGACACCUUACUUGCGCAAAACCCGGAGGUUGGUGCCAUUCUUCUGAAUGGUGUCUGCGAGUCCUCAGCACGCUUCUGCUCCGCACCUGGCCUUGAGCGCUACACCGACAUCCCAUCUUGUAUGGGUUUCCUGGCAUCAAUCCCGCUAUUCAAUCCACUGCGAACACAAGCCAACUCCGUGGCCUGUCGCUUUGUGCACGCGAGCCUGGUAAGAUUCGCGCCGCAGAUCCACUGCUCACAUAUUGGCCCAUCUGGUGGCGGUGUGUGUGUGGAUGAGCCAUACGCCAGCUACUACACCACCUCUCCCUUCGCACCGAACAGCUUUAUAGCGCCAUGAGAAGUAGGCUGGAGGUGAUAAAGCACCCGACGGGGUGAGGGAUAGAGCUAUGGAGUUGGCAAAGGAGGGUAGAUCUGUGUGUACAUACGCAUAAUGUGAAAAUCAUGAUAAUGCGUCCGCGACCUUGGCUGUAAUAACGUAGAUGCCUAUCUGAUCAUCCCGGGUUACGCCUUUGCUGUGUUACAAUGGUAUUGAGACCAGAAGACUUCCGUAAUAAACUUCGGGUCGGCGGUUUGGAUCAGGCAUCCAGCAGAUCGUAAAUUGGCGAUUUUAUGGUAAAAUGGAUAAACCAGCGCACUGGCGCGAGGUGGGAUGGCUCCUGUGCUCGAAAUGAUGGCCGAGGACGUCCAUUGCUAAGUGGGGGGCAAUGUAACGACGUAAAUGCCAAUCUGAGCACCCCGGGUUACGCCGUUGCUGUGUUACAUUGGCCAUCAGCUGCCUGGUUCGUAACUGCUGCUGACUUGCUGCUCUUAACAACAAUUCUUAAAUAUAUUGUUGAAUAUGAGGUAUACAUAAAACGUCCCCCUUAUUCAUGGCCCAUUAUCAUGCAUUACUUCAUGAAACACACAUGGCGUCUCCUGGUGCCAGACAGGCAUGGGCCCAUCCUUUCAAUCGCCCACCUCGACCUGCAUGUACUGUCUGAACAGUUGCAGUCUGGAUUCGCAGUAGCUAGGAGUUCGUUAUUUUACGGCUGCCGGAAAUAAUUACGAUGAUCGGAUGUGGCUUAUCUUUCAAUGUGCGGUUAAUUACGCGGUUAUAAAGAACGCUUACCUUAGCCGACAUACUUAACCGCGAGAUGCGCAUUAUUGGGAUUCGCUGCCACAUUGGAUUGGUUCUUUGUGUGUGGGGGAGGUUCUGGCGUGAUAACGCAAACUUACGCGUCGUGUCGGUGUCAUAACUUACAGUACCGACAUAGCUGAAUUAAUCCAUGCAGGACAUUUGUCGGACUGGCUGGUUGUCUGCCGGAUAUCGCUUAGGCGGACUUGCACUUGCUUCUUUAGAAAAGUAACGUGCUAGGUCUGCAGGACCAAGUGUAAUUAGGGCGUCCCGUCUGCAGGCUUGGCCGUCCAAAGCUCCGUUGUCUUGGCUGCUGCUGACCUUGCUUUGCUGUGGCAGAUCACAGAACGUGCCCGCCCGCUGUUCCAUCAACGCCCCCCAUGCUGAGUUCACCUCGGCCGCCCCCACGUGAUAUGCUAUUUGAAUUUCUUCAUUGGGCGUAUGUAGAGUCGACGCUAUCUUGGUAGGCAAACAUGUAAUACCGUAGUCCCACAUAUAAUUCGUGCCUGAUGAUUUCGGGUCACCCUCAAAAAAAGCCCUGGAACAAAUUUGCGAUUUUCUCCACGCUUAACUCUGAAACAGCUUGUGAAGCCCGAAGUCGAAGAGUGUCGAAAUGGAGACCCUUUCCCCAACGACGUAAAAACGCCGAACAGCCACGUCUGCGCCGUGUCAUGGGAUGUUAUGGAAAGUUCCUAACCAUGCAUAAGAAGUGUCUACACCUGGUUCAGUGAAGCGACCAGACCUGCCUGCCGAGUUGAUGCGUGCAACUGUGCAGGCUGGUGCACGCUGACAGAUGAAACUUCUCCAAAUAAGGCUGCCCAUAUAUACAUCUUUAUAUUAUAUGCUUUACCGAGAUAGACCUUAAAACUAUGGACCAAGCUCAUACGCAGUUUUAGGCUCCAAUGCUCGUCAUUUCACCUUGGGGUGACAUGCCGAGCACCCCUAACAUUCAUAGCCACUAGUCUUUAUGAAGAGCUUCAUAACAUUUGAAAAACUAUCAUUUUAUGAUUGCGACUUGCUGUACAAAGAAAAUACGCUAGAGGACCUUGUUCACCAUGCUCGCGCGGAAAUUUGCAUUCUGGAAAAAACAACUAGAAGGUUGUAGCUUUUACAGAAUCUGCUGUUCUGUAUGCCGCUGCAAGCCUGGCGACAAGCUGCACAGUCGGUAACCCUACCAAACCGGUCGGAAACCGGUCGCUUGGGUACCUAGCCGGUAGGGUAACCGACAUAACGAGCUAACGACCCAGUAACUGGGGGUUCACUGACCGAUAAGGUUACCGGUCGGUAAGGUAACCGACCGUUCCUGGUCGUUUACCGGGUCUUUAUCUCGAAAUGUCGGUCACCCUACCAAAGCGACUGGUUGGGUUAUAGUUAUAUGCUCGGUUGUUAUGCCAUAAGUGGAGGGAGGGAUGUACGAAGGGCGGGAUGUAUAGACGGAUGGAGGGGUGGAUUAAUGCAAGGAGGGAUGGUGUGUGGGACAGGGGCCCUUGACAUACCAGGGGCAUAACGUCACUCGUGGCCGCAACCCGUCGAGACCCUGGUAUUUCAGAGCACCCUCAUCCAGUCACCCUAGUUGACUUCUCAGUGGAUCGCUCAGGUUCAGCAAAAACCACCGGCAUCCACCGGAAUCUGCCGGAUCAACUGCGGGUUAACUCCGUUACUGAUCAGCCCGCAGGUGCAGUUUACAUCAGGGCACCACCAUCCAUCGGCUAGGUGUAAUGUUACCUUCCACCACGUAAAGAGUUACAACCCUGACAGGUCUCGAUCCCGAGAUCUCCCAGGCAUCGUUUUGUGCUUUACCGUAGUGCCUGACCUUUGUAUGUAGGUGUGUGCGUAUGUAUGGACCAACACACAUAUGGAGGUAGGGAGGGUGUAUGGAGGGAUGAAGGAAGGGAAGGAGGGAGGGAAAGAGGGAUGCUGCCGUGUUAACUGGUGUGGAGAGCAAGAGGAUGUUUUGAGACGUAGUCCGUUACUUUCUCCAUGUAUUGGGUUCUCCUUCGAGUGCCCAUCUUUGGGACGUAUUGCAGGGAAGGGCCAGGUCCUUAGACCCCCAGAAGCUCAGCAGCAGACGCUGUAAAGCCCGGAACCCAAUGAAAGCCUAGCGGCAUAGCCCGCUAUGGCAUACAAGCUCUCCCCAAAAACACAGACUGCUGGUCGCCUGAAACCCAUGCUCGUACCACGCCUUAACCAUGGAUCGCAGCGAACCAUCCUGGAUGCCUGACGUGGUCACCAUCUCAUCCUGAUGUCAUUGCAGCAACAGUGCAUGCAGAUCCGGUUUGGUGUCCAAUACAAACAUUUUGUUUACACCGUGAGACCAAAAGGUCUUAACGGACCGCACUGCACUCGACACAGUGUUAAAGCUGGCUCCUCAUGGGUAUGGCUCCAGAAUUUUGCACGAUGCAAUACGCUACUUAUAUUAAUGACCUUGUUCCUUGUGUGAGAACCUAUUGCGUGCGCGCAGCGCAGUUGCGUAUCUCUGAAGGCAGCUGUGGUGGUCUGGGUACCGAACCAGUCGGUGGCCGUAUCAUGGUAAGUGCUUAUUGGCCACAGGCUUUGCAGGCAGAUGUAUUGUUUCAAGUACCCGCGUCGCAGCGCUGCAGGUGGGCAAUGCGCAGUUGAGCUGCAGGUGACCCUGCAUACCGUCAUCGACAGUACAGCUCUCAUCGAUGGAAGGACGCAUGGUAUAACGGCGGCACAGAGUGCAGCAGGUUGUUGUCAUACAAUCUGAAGGCCAGGCACCACAUAUUCCAGGCUCAGGGAGCGGUUUCAACUGGGUUGAACUUUAGGUCCUCUGCUGCAGACGCGGCCCAGGUGCCUGAGGGACAGGCACAAGGAGUGAUAUGAUUGCCUGAGCUUAAUACACGGCCUGGUUAAUAGCACCUGGUUAAAAGCCGCCAGGGCAUCUCCACGCAUCCGCAAAGUAUCCUCGCUGGUCUUUAGUCCGUAGCAGCAGACAAGCGGAGAAGUUCGUUUGAAAAUAUAUAUCGUAACAAAAUAUGAUAUAUGGGCCUUGCCUUAGGCCUCCUGUGCCCUUUCUCUGGACAACCCUACAUGUCCGUAACCCUGUCUAUCGCGUACCUCGCCCGUAAUGCAUCGCUUCGCGUAUCAUCAGAUUAAGGCAGGAGCAUAAUUGCAUUAUGCAAAUGAAACUGUGAUUGGCAGUUUUACCAUGUUUGACGUUUUGUCUAUGGUAACUCAAGGCGUGCAAAGUGGCGCAAAUUGCAUUUAUAAACCUUUUUAGAAAGUAAAACAAAUGUGCUUCAUUAAAUGAGUGCGUUAUGUAUCAAGUAAGGAAUGUGACAAAGCGCUGAAGCCCAAAGGUACGGCAGCUCGGAUAGUGUACGGACUUCGAGCGUGUCCGCAAACGCUGGCUGCUAACGACGGAGCAAGCGGCAUCAUCAUCCAUUAUGGGAAGAAACCAUAUGGAACCUGGAUGAGAUUUUGAGUUGAGUUGCUAGGUAGCGUUUCUUUGCGGCAUUUGCGCACACCGCGCCAACUUGCUUCCGGCGAUGUCAUUCAUCCUAGUCUUUUCCUAAACCUGGUAUCUGGCCCUACCAGUUAUAAGGGAGUAGGUUGUUAAGGAAGGAUGGAGGAGGGAACAGCUAUUGAGGAACCGCCCCCUCCACCUCCGCAUCCGAAUGUGACAGUGAAGGAGCUGGCCUCUAUUUCACUUGCUGGGCUACAGGACUCCAUUCCACAGGCAAAUUCCGCUGUCUAAGUUUAUCUUGGCUGGUCCCCGAAUGCUUACCAUGCCGACCGCGGCCCUCGCCCUAAUGGUUCGUCACACAGGACUUCCAAAAAAUUGUUGUGCAUGGUCAAUCCAAGUCGCCAGGACGGCGCCGUAGGACUGCUUUUCAGCCCAGCGACCAGCAUCUGCCGACCGCCCGGCUUAAGUUGUUUUGUGUUGACAAAACAACAGGCAAGAUUGAUGAUAAUACGGUCUGUGUAUUAGUAUACUGGGUUUAUAUAUGCAGAAAUUGGCGUUGGUUUAUCGCCAGCCCUGCUCCGUAAGCCUUCGACCCCCGGUACCCUGGUCUUGGCGAACUGUCUACGCCCCUCAAAGAUGACAUAUCUUGUCUCCACGCACUGUGUGCAUUUCAGUAUGUACUUAUGGGAACCCAUCGCGCCGCACUGUAGGGAG